AGUGAACGCUGGCGGUAGGCCUAACACAUGCAAGUCGAACGGCAGCACAGUAAGAGCUUGCUCUUACGGGUGGCGAGUGGCGGACGGGUGAGGAAUACAUCGGAAUCUACUUUUUCGUGGGGGAUAACGUAGGGAAACUUACGCUAAUACCGCAUACGACCUACGGGUGAAAGCAGGGGAUCUUCGGACCUUGCGCGAUUGAAUGAGCCGAUGUCGGAUUAGCUAGUUGGCGGGGUAAAGGCCCACCAAGGCGACGAUCCGUAGCUGGUCUGAGAGGACGAUCAGCCACACUGGAACUGAGACACGGUCCAGACUCCUACGGGAGGCAGCAGUGGGGAAUAUUGGACAAUGGGCGCAAGCCUGAUCCAGCCGUACCGCGUGGGUGAAGAAGGCCUUCGGGUUGUAAAGCCCUUUUGUUGGGAAAGAAAAGCAGCAGGUUAAUACCCCGCUGUUCUGACGGUACCCAAAGAAUAAGCACCGGCUAACUUCGUG
RNAcentral lists this ribosomal RNA (492 nucleotides) under uncultured bacterium. Its description in RNAcentral is "partial 16S ribosomal RNA". It matches the Rfam family "Bacterial small subunit ribosomal RNA", at positions 29 to 507 of the family's 1533-position model. The record is from RNAcentral.